This is a non-coding RNA of Ornithorhynchus anatinus (platypus), 73 nucleotides long. Lineage: Eukaryota; Metazoa; Chordata; Mammalia; Monotremata; Ornithorhynchidae. The record is from Rfam.
GGAAGUGUGGCCUAGUGGAAAGAGCCCAGGCCUGGGAGUCAGAAGGACCUGGGUUCUAAUCCCAGCUCUGCCU